UACGUAGGUGACAAGCGUUGACCGGAUUUACUGGGCGUAAAGAGCGCGCAGGCGGUCGAUCAAGUCGAGUGUGAAAGCCCCCGGCUCAACUGGGGAGGGUCAUUCGAUACUGAUCGACUCGAAGGCAGGAGAGGGUAGUGGAAUUCCCGGUGUAGUGGUGAAAUGCGUAGAUAUCGGGAGGAACACCAGUGGCGAAGGCGACUACCUGGCCUGUUCUUGACGCUGAGGCGCGAAAGCUAGGGGAGCAAACGGG
RNAcentral lists this ribosomal RNA (253 nucleotides) under uncultured bacterium. Its description in RNAcentral is "partial 16S ribosomal RNA". It matches the Rfam family "Bacterial small subunit ribosomal RNA", at positions 524 to 776 of the family's 1533-position model. The record is from RNAcentral.